UAUAUUUGAGAGUUUGAUCCUGGCUCAGGAUGAACGCUGGCGGCGUGCCUAACACAUGCAAGUCGAGCGAACCCUUCGGGGUGAGCGGCGGACGGGUGAGUAACGCGUGGGUAACCUGCCCUGUACACACGGAUAACAUACCGAAAGGUAUGCUAAUACGGGAUAACAUAUGAGAGUCGCCUGGCUUUCAUAUCAAAGCUCCGGCGGUACAGGAUGGACCCGCGUCUGAUUAGCUAGUUGGUAAGGUAACGGCUUACCAAGGCAACGAUCAGUAGCCGACCUGAGAGGGUGAUCGGCCACAUUGGAACUGAGACACG
This 317-nucleotide ribosomal RNA is filed under the name Paraclostridium sordellii. Its description in RNAcentral is "bacterial SSU rRNA". It matches the Rfam family "Bacterial small subunit ribosomal RNA", at positions 1 to 328 of the family's 1533-position model. The record is from RNAcentral. Lineage: Bacteria; Bacillati; Bacillota; Clostridia; Peptostreptococcales; Peptostreptococcaceae.